AGAAAUUCCUUAGGAUAGCUAUUUAUAAGUUUUUUUAUCACAAAAUUAGCCAUUAAUAAAAAAAUGACCAAAAGAAAUUUUAUUAAAGAGUAAAAAUGCAUUUAUACUCUAGGGUUAACUAAUCUAGACUUAAAAUUUAGAGUUACGGGGUGAGUUUUUGAGAAAAAAAUUUCAAAUUUAAAAAUAAAAAUAAAAAAUAAAGAUGAAAGUUUUCAAAAUUAAAAAAAAAAAUAUAUUUUGUCAUUUUCUUUAUUGAAAACUAUUUUUGUGACAAAAACUUAAAAAAAAUGUUAUUUGAAAGUAUUACCCAUUUAUCAUAUCUUACAUUUUGGGGAUAGAAAGAUUAUCUUAAUGAGUGUGUACGAGGGAAGCACUCUUAACUUGCUUAAGUUUAUUAACCUUGAAUAUUUUUUGUUUAUUUUUAAGUUGUAAAUGGGUUAAUUAAACUCUUGAAGUAGAGAGAACAAUCUAUCGACAACUAGACAUUGAAGUUUUAGAUAUGUACACAAUUAUAUAGUACAUGACAGUAUGAACUAGACUAUAAACUAGGGUAUCAGUAGAGUGGUUGGUAACUGGUAAGUCCCAGCAUUAUUUGAUUAAGAAAUAGUUUGUCGGUUCUAAUUUCAUACAUAUGCGGAAAAAGAAAUAGAAACGUGAGAAGGGUGAUUAAUGAUAAAGUGGCGAUGAUGAUCUUGAUUCUUGAGACCGUUGGAUGAAAGGAGAGGAAGACGGUUGAGACCGUAUAUAAUUUAAUGGAGGUAUUGCUCGUAUUUGUACGUGGUCCAUUCUCCUCCUACUCGGAUUGUGCAUGCUUUAAUUAGAUGGAGAAAUAUGGCCACAAACUCUCUUUUUAAUAAUGAAAUGUCUACAAAGUU
This 875-nucleotide long non-coding RNA is filed under the name Brassica rapa (field mustard). RNAcentral describes it as "long non-coding RNA (BRAP_LNC007257)". Lineage: Eukaryota; Viridiplantae; Streptophyta; Magnoliopsida; Brassicales; Brassicaceae. The record is from RNAcentral.